AGAGUUUGAUCAUGGCUCAGAUUGAACGCUGGCGGCAUGCCUUACACAUGCAAGUCGAACGGCAGCGCGGGAGCAAUCCUGGCGGCGAGUGGCGAACGGGUGAGUAACAUAUCGGAACGUGCCCUGGAGUGGGGGAUAACUAGUCGAAAGACUAGCUAAUACCGCAUACGAUCUACGGAUGAAAGUGGGGGAUCGCAAGACCUCAUGCUCGUGGAGCGGCCGAUAUCUGAUUAGCUAGUUGGUAGGGUAAAAGCCUACCAAGGCAUCGAUCAGCAGCUGGUCUGAGAGGACGACCAGCCACACUGGGACUGAGACACGGCCCAGACUCCUACGGGAGGCAGCAGUGGGGAAUUUUGGACAAUGGGGGCAACCCUGAUCCAGCAAUGCCGCGUGAGUGAAGAAGGCCUUCGGGUUGUAAAGCUCUUUUGUCAUGGAAGAAACGGGACUGGGGUAAUACCUUGGUCUAAUG
This 469-nucleotide ribosomal RNA is filed under the name uncultured Oxalobacteraceae bacterium. RNAcentral's name for it is "bacterial SSU rRNA". It matches the Rfam family "Bacterial small subunit ribosomal RNA", at positions 8 to 479 of the family's 1533-position model. The record is from RNAcentral. Lineage: Bacteria; Pseudomonadati; Pseudomonadota; Betaproteobacteria; Burkholderiales; Oxalobacteraceae.